This 728-nucleotide ribosomal RNA is filed under the name uncultured bacterium. Its description in RNAcentral is "bacterial SSU rRNA". It matches the Rfam family "Bacterial small subunit ribosomal RNA", at positions 94 to 801 of the family's 1533-position model. The record is from RNAcentral.
AGUGGCGAACGGGUGAGUAACGCGUAGACAACCUGCCUUCCAGAUGGGGACAACAUCCCGAAAGGGGUGCUAAUACCGAAUACGAUCAUGUUGGUGCAUACUAAUAUGAAGAAAGGUGGCCUCUGAACAUGCUACCGCUGGAAGAUGGGUCUGCGUCUGAUUAGCUAGUUGGUGAGGUAACGGCUCACCAAGGCGACGAUCAGUAGCCGGUCUGAGAGGACGAACGGCCACACUGGGACUGAGACACGGCCCAGACUCCUACGGGAGGCAGCAGUGGGGAAUCUUCCGCAAUGGACGAAAGUCUGACGGAGCAACGCCGCGUGAGUGAAGAAGGUUUUCGGAUCGUAAAGCUCUGUUUUUCGGGACGAACGAUCUCCAUGUAAAUAAUGUGGAGAAGUGACGGUACCGAAGGAGGAAGCCACGGCUAACUACGUGCCAGCAGCCGCGGUAAUACGUAGGCGGCGAGCGUUGUCCGGAAUUAUUGGGCGUAAAGGGCGCGUAGGCGGGAUAGUCAGUCUGUUGUAAAAGUUCGGGGCUCAACCCCGUGAAGCAAUGGAAACUGCUAUUCUUGAGUGCAGGAGAGGAAAGUGGAAUUCCCAGUGUAGCGGUGAAAUGCGUAGAUAUUGGGAGGAACACCAGUGGCGAAGGCGACUUUCUGGACUGUGUCUGACGCUGAGGCGCGAAAGCCAGGGGAGCGAACGGGAUUAGAUACCCCGGUAGUCCUGGCC